This 1166-nucleotide ribosomal RNA is filed under the name Pterocorys clausus. RNAcentral's name for it is "SSU rRNA". It matches the Rfam family "Eukaryotic small subunit ribosomal RNA", at positions 638 to 1825 of the family's 1831-position model. Lineage: Eukaryota; Polycystinea; Nassellaria; Pterocorythidae. The record is from RNAcentral.
UUUUAGUCGCGCGGACCGGCCGUGGCCUUUAGUGUCGUGUGCCUGGUUCGUCGUGACUAUUUUGGCCCAGCGUGUCGUUGGCAUUAGUUUGUCGACGGCUCCGCCAGGUCGAGUUUACUUUGAGAAAAUUAGAGUGUUCAAAACAGUCAAUCGAUUGUAUAUCAUAGCAUGGAAUAAUAACUGAUGACCUCGGUCACCUUUUGUUGGGUUCAGAUGGCUGAGUUAAUGAUUGAUAGGGUUAGUCGGAGGUAUUAGUAUUCUGUCGUUAGAGGUGAAAUUCAUGGAUCGGCAGAAGACUGACAACUGCGAAAGCAUUUAUCUAGGAUUUGCUCUUUGAUCAAGAACGAAAGUUGGGGGAUCGAAGACGAUCAGAUACCGUCGUAGUCUCAACUAUAAACUAUACCAGCUAGGGAUUGGCAAGCGUUUGACUUGACCUUGUCAGAACCUUAUGAGAAAUCAAAGCAUUUGGGUUCCGGGGGGAGUAUGGUCGCAAGGCUGAAACUUAAAGGAAUUGACGGAAGGGCACCACAAGUUGUGGAUCCUGUGGCUUAAUUUGACUCAACACGGGAAAACUUACCAGGUCCAGACAUAGUAAGGAUUGACAGAUUGACAGCUCUUUCUUGAUUCUAUGGGUGGUGGUGCAUGGCCGUUCUUAGUUGGUGGAGUGAUUUGUCUGGUUAAUUCCGUUAACGAACGAGACCAUUACCUGCUAAAUAGUCGGCCGGUCCUUUUGGAGCGGACUGACUUCUUAGAGGGACUAGCCAUCUAUUAAGUGGCUGGAAGUUAGUGGCAAUAACAGGUCUGUGAUGCCCUUAGAUGUUCUGGGCCGCGCACGGGCUACACUGACGGAGUAAAUGAGCCUUACUAUCAUGGUCCGGGAGGAUCGUGCAAUCUUGAAACUCCGUCGUGGUUGGAAUCGACGAUUGUAAUUAUUCGUCGUGAACGAGGAAUACCUAGUAAGCGUGCAUCAUUAAUGCACAGUGAAUACGUCCCUGCCCUUUGUACACACCGCCCGUCGCUCCUACCGAUUGGAUGAGCUGGUGAGUUAAUCGGACUGGUCUUGGGCCGCCUCACGGUGGUUCCCGGAUCGGGAAACUUUGCAAACUAGACUAUCUAGAGGAAGGAGAAGUCGUAACAAGGUUUCCGUAGGUGAACCUGCAGAAGGA